Non-coding RNA from Rattus norvegicus (Norway rat), 2538 nucleotides. Lineage: Eukaryota; Metazoa; Chordata; Mammalia; Rodentia; Muridae. The record is from RefSeq and is a predicted model, not a curated record.
AGGAGCAUGAGGGAAGGCACUAUGAGGCUGAGGAGGUUUCCUCAGAUGUCUCCAGCAGCAGCUACAGCAGUAGCCCCCUGAGUGUGGCCUCAGGUUGUCCAAUGAAGGACUGCAGAUCCAAUGGCAAAAUGCCUCAUCAGGAAGGCUGAGAGACACACAGAAAAUAUCCUCAUGUCCUUAAAAACUGCAUGAAUGUGCCUGCUUCUGAGAGCUGGGGAAGGAGUGUUGUUUGGGAGACAGCUUCCCCAAAAGCUCUUGCUUUCUUUUGGUCUCUGGUGUCCAGUGAGGCUGUCACCUUCACAGACAGGCUACACCUUUCUUUUAAGUCUCAUUUCCCACUCUGGAUUGUUCUUUCCCAGCUCUGACCCUCAAGAGGAUCAGACCCCAUGCAUCUUGGAGCCACCUGAAGUGUACCCUCCUCACAUCUUGCAAACGACAGCAAGUAUAUCACCUGGGGACAUGUGAGAAAUUCUCAUCCCCAGAGCAAAAUUGGCGACUCUUUGAGCAUGGCUUUCAACGGGUACUGGUACUCCACCCACCACCAUAGACGAGAAAAGAAGAAGAUGGGGGUUAACCACUUAGCCCAAGGCGGUGCCACUUCUAAAUGAUGAAGCCAGAAAUCGUGUCCAGAUCUGCCUAGGUUCAAAGUUCACACCACCUAACAUGAGUAUGAUCAUCCCUAUACCCAAGGUCACCUUAAAAGGACGAGUACCGUACCUGCAGCCACCUUUCUGCCCUCCUUGAGUUGGUUGGCCACAUGUUCAGGCAGCAUGGCAUACAGCAAGGUCUCUGUCUUCUUCUUCUCGAUGGCCAGGUGAUUGGAAAGGACACGCAACUCCUCCUUCUUCUUUUCCAGUUGGCAGGACAGCUCCAUCUCUGCCAGCCUCUGCUGGUUGAGGAGGAUGAGAUCCCUGGUCGUGUCGUGCGGAGCGAUAUCAGAAAGAUGCAUCUUGCUCUCUUCCAGCUCUUGCAGGCUGCGGAGCUUUGGGGAACACAUGAAGAUCAUGCACCUCAGAGACUCCAUCCAGAUCAUCUGACCUGCCCAUCACAGAGAGGAAGGUGACAAUGUGGGAUGUCUCCAGACAGAACAAGAGGUAAAGCCUGCUCCACCCUUCUUAGCCAUGCAUCGUAAGAAUCAUCUAUGCUUCUGUCUCCAUUCACUCAUCUGCCACGCUCUGCACAACAGCUCUUCCUGUGACGGCCAUGAGCUUGAGAUGCCAACCCCAGCAGCUAGGUCUGCAGCUAGGUCUUCUCUUUGCUUUGAUCUUCUACUGUCUUAGGUAUGAACCUAAUAUUCCCUCUGGAAAUCUUGUAUCCUGAGGUUUUUCAGCCACUGAUACCUCUCUGGAGUUUCCCUAUUUCUUUGAGGUUUUUCUUCAGUCUUUGUCCACCCCCUACUCCUGCAUUCAUGGUACUAGAAGGCUACUCUUAAUGCUCCAGGAGGAGUAAGGCAAUACCUGCCAGCUACGAAUCCUGUGACCGUCAACAGUGACCUGCCUCUAAGAUAUACUUUUAAGUAUGUGUGCAACAGUGGAAUGAAUGUCAUGGGAGGAACCAACUACUUUGUGAUUCGAUUUAAGGUCUGAGCCCUGAGAUGGAACCCACAUCUGACACUGCUAAUUGGCCAAGAAGCUGAGACUAGAUAGGUCAGGGACAUAAUAGAUACUAUUAUUCGGCUAAAGAAGCAUGACAAUGCAAUGACUUCUAAUGGCAUAGUGGCACAUAUGUCAUAUACGUAUACAUAACAAUGCCACAGAUCAAUGCCUCACUCAAUCCAAGAGAAGCUUCUUGUAUCCAGUGAAAAUUGAUGCAGAAAUGGACAAUGUGCAGAGAGUAAGAGACUUUAGAUCACUCCAUGCUAAAGUGGGCGUCUUCAUUAACUCUCCCUUCAAGGCUCGGAGGAUGAUGAGGUAGAAAUAUUCUAAGAGCCAGAGAGGACAGACAACGCCAAGGAAACAGCGUCUUCCAGACACCGCAGGACUGAUGCAUGUAUGAACCCUCAGAGACUGGCAGCAUUCACAGGACCGACAUAGGUUCAAGCUGGAUGGGGACCCAGUGCUGAGAGGGAGAAGUGGACAUACUCUCCUCACCCUAACCAAGAGGCUAUCUACAAUUGCUGCCCACUACCAAUGAAGUUGCCCCGGGUAUAUCAACCACACUUCAGGGUGGGAUCCAUGUCCAGAAGUAGUUGACCAACACAAACAAACUCAAGGCUAUUUUUGUAGACUUUUUGUCUCAUUUUGCUUUGUUGGGGUUUUUAAUUUUUUUUUUUGGUUCUUUUUUUCGGAGCUGGGAACCGAACCCAGGGCCUUGUGCUUCCUAGGUAAGCGCUCUACCACUGAGCUAAAUCCCCAGCCCCGGGGUUUUUAAUUUUUUGUCUCACUUAUGUUUUGCUUGCUUAUUUUGGUUUCUGGUGUGUGUGUGUGUGUGUGUGUGUGUGUGUGUGUGUGUGUGUGUGUGUGUUGGGGAGGGGGGAGAAAAACAUGAUGAAAAUACAUUGUAUGGGAAACAAAUUCAAUAAUUAAAAAAUUUACCAUA